CGGCGAGUGAAGCGGCAACAGCUCAAAUUUGAAAUCUGGCCCCCAGGGUCCGAGUUGUAAUUUGUAGAGGAUGCUUUUGGCGCGGUGCCUUCUGAGUUCCCUGGAACGGGACGCCACAGAGGGUGAGAGCCCCGUAUAGUCGGACACCAAGCCUCUGUAAAGCUCCUUCGACGAGUCGAGUAGUUUGGGAAUGCUGCUCAAAAUGGGAGGUAAAUCUCUUCUAAAGCUAAAUACAGGCUAGAGACCGAUAGCGCACAAGUAGAGUGAUCGAAAGAUGAAAAGCACUUUGAAAAGAGGGUUAAAAAGCACGUGAAAUUGUUGAAAGGGAAGCGCUUGUGACCAGACUUGCGCCCGGUUGAUCAUCCAGCGUUCUCGCUGGUGCACUCUGCCGGGCUCAGGCCAGCAUCGGUUCUUGCGGGGGGAUAAAAGCUGUGGGAAUGUAGCUCCCUCGGGAGUGUUAUAGCCCGCUGCAGAAUACCCCCGCGGGGACCGAGGUACGCGUUCCGCAAGGAUGCUGGCGUAAUGGUCACCAGCGACCCGUCUUGAAACACGGACCAAGGAGUCAAGCAUUAGGGCGAGUGUUUGGGUGUCAAACCCGCACGCGAAAUGAAAGUGAACGUAGGUGAGAGCUUCGGCGCAUCAUCGACCGAUCCUGAUGUAUUCGGAUGGAUUUGAGUAAGAGCCUUACCGCUUGGACCCGAAAGAUGGUGAACUAUGCUUGAAUAGGGUGAAGCCAGAGGAAACUCUGGUGGAGGCUCGCAGCGGUUCUGACGUGCAAAUCGAUCGUCAAA
Molecule: ribosomal RNA, 791 nt
Filed under: Wongia fusiformis
Lineage: Eukaryota; Fungi; Ascomycota; Sordariomycetes; Papulosaceae
Description: Wongia sp. DB-2021a partial large subunit ribosomal RNA
Rfam family: Eukaryotic large subunit ribosomal RNA
Source: RNAcentral